RNAcentral lists this ribosomal RNA (465 nucleotides) under Vreelandella stevensii. Its description in RNAcentral is "partial 16S ribosomal RNA". It matches the Rfam family "Bacterial small subunit ribosomal RNA", at positions 338 to 795 of the family's 1533-position model. The record is from RNAcentral. Lineage: Bacteria; Pseudomonadati; Pseudomonadota; Gammaproteobacteria; Oceanospirillales; Halomonadaceae.
CCUACGGGGGGCUGCAGCGGGGAAUAUUGGACAAUGGGGGGAACCCUGAUCCAGCCAUGCCGCGUGUGUGAAGAAGGCCCUCGGGUUGUAAAGCACUUUCAGUGAGGAAGAACGCCUGGUGGUUAAUACCCAUCAGGAAAGACAUCACUCACAGAAGAAGCACCGGCUAACUCCGUGCCAGCAGCCGCGGUAAUACGGAGGGUGCGAGCGUUAAUCGGAAUUACUGGGCGUAAAGCGCGCGUAGGUGGCUUGAUAAGCCGGUUGUGAAAGCCCCGGGCUCAACCUGGGAACGGCAUCCGGAACUGUCAAGCUAGAGUGCAGGAGAGGAAGGUAGAAUUCCCGGUGUAGCGGUGAAAUGCGUAGAGAUCGGGAGGAAUACCAGUGGCGAAGGCGGCCUUCUGGACUGACACUGACACUGAGGUGCGAAAGCGUGGGUAGCGAACAGGAUUAGAUACCCUUGUAGUC